Molecule: long non-coding RNA, 1108 nt
Organism: Carassius gibelio (silver crucian carp)
Lineage: Eukaryota; Metazoa; Chordata; Actinopteri; Cypriniformes; Cyprinidae
Exons: 3
Source: RefSeq, a predicted model, not a curated record
GUUGACAUUACACUGUAAAAAAAUAAUUCAGUGGCUUAGUAAAUUUCACAAAAAUAAAGAGCUAUAUUAACUUAAUAAAAUCUUUUGAAAUCAUUUAAGUGAUAUUUUGAGUGGGUCAGAUUAAAAAUAAUAAUUAAAAAUCCAACAAAUAAUUUCUCUAAAAUUUACAUAUAUUAUUUAAGUUUAUGUAAUGAAAAUAAAUAAGUAUUUAACUAACUAAUUAUUUUUUUUAAUAUACCUUCAAUAUUUCUGGUGAAUUCUAAUAGAAAUAUUUGAUAAUUAUUUACUUGUACUGAUCUGUUUUAGAAACUAAAAUUAUUAAGUAUUUCCUACCAAUUUUCCUAAAUAAAGUUCCAGCUUAAUAAAUGACAGUUAAAUAAAUUGAGUAAAUUUCGCGGCUAAAGUGAUCACGUGUGCAGCUCCGCUCCGCAGGAAAAAAAAAAUCUGCUUUCCUCAGCAGCGACGUCGACUAGCCAUACACCUCACAACUCCUGGUAAGUAACGUUAGUCAGCUAAUCCUACUUACGUUUGUAACACUUUAUUAAAAAGUUAAUAAUUAUUAAGCAUUUCCUAACAAUUGUCUUUGUAUUUUACGUCAUAUUCAACAAGUUUCGUAGCUUAAUCGAAGUCACCUGAAGGACGGCUUUCCUCAGCAACGGCAAGACCCGCACUCCUCUCAUAUUGUGAAGUUUAACAGGUUUUGCGGCUCAAACAAGAAGCACCUGUCACUGAAGGACUGCUUUUCUCAGCUACGACGUGAACAGCAUUACUCGAAUUUCCUGGUUCAGCUGAUCUACCCGUCUUCGUACACGCAGAGUUGGCAGAGGAGGUCAUAAAAAUCUACAUCCUUCGGAACAAUGAUGGGGCGGUCAGCGAUGUAAUCUUGGGAAUCACAGCAGAGCCUGCUGCCAUCUUUUGGGAGUCACAUUGGAUUUGAGAUAUCCCAAGACCCACAAAUACAGGUCCUUCUCCAAAAAUUUGCAUAUUGUGAUAAAGUUCAUUAUUUUCCAUAAUGUAAUGAUAAAAAUUAAACUUUCAUAUAUUUUAGAUUCAUUGCACCCCAACUGAAAUAUUUCAGGUCUUUUAUUGUUUUAAUACUGAUGCUUUU